Molecule: long non-coding RNA, 827 nt
Organism: Homo sapiens (human)
Lineage: Eukaryota; Metazoa; Chordata; Mammalia; Primates; Hominidae
Exons: 5
Source: RefSeq, a predicted model, not a curated record
UGGAGUUUGGGCCAGGAGGUGAUACACCAUCUCAGCAUGAAAACAAUUUAGUCUUUUUAGUAGUAGAGAUUUUAUGAUUUAUGAGCCAUUCAUAUCAUUAACAAGUGCUGCUAUUUUCAACUUUAAUAUUGGUAUUUCAGAGUUCUUGGUUGCAAGCAACAGAAAUCUAUCAUUUACAACAAAAGCAACGAGGAGAUUACAUGAAGCGAAAGAGGGGGCUCACAGAAUUGAAGGGAUGCCGGAGAACAAGAAGCUGAAGAAAAUCUCAACAUUGAAGGAGCCUUGGACAACCACCUAAUCCUAUAUUCAUUGAAUAGUUGAACUGUAUCCACCCGGCGUAAUACCCAUGGCAACUGGUCUUCCACAUAUGAUGAAAUAGCCUCUGAGAGGUUAAGUCACUCACCCAAAAUUUCCACUGCCAGGAAGUGGUAGUGAUGGGAUUCAAACCUGGGUGGCCCUGAGACCAGAGCUUCCGCUCUACCCACUUCACUAUACUUCUCUUACUACAGGUACACAGCCCUUUUAUCUCUGCUUUCCUGAAGCAGCCUUUGUAAGUGGAAGGAUUGUACUGAAGGCUCAGCAGCAAUAGAGCUAAUGAAAUGGAAGCUGGGCAGUGCUGAGUCCCUGGGUCACAGUUACCGAGAGGAAAAGUGGGCUGGCUGAGAUUUCAUCCCAGGCUGCCUGCUACGAAGCUCCUCAUCUGCCUCCCUCGAAUCAAGUGCUACAUCCAAUAAUAGGGACUAAACCCACAUCUGUAGCUUCUGAGUCGAGAGAUCUGAAUAGAGAAAUCAGCAGUUAAAAUAAAAUUAAAAUAGCUCUGAACAUUU